RNAcentral lists this ribosomal RNA (429 nucleotides) under Acidobacteriota bacterium. RNAcentral describes it as "Acidobacteria bacterium partial 16S ribosomal RNA". It matches the Rfam family "Bacterial small subunit ribosomal RNA", at positions 355 to 776 of the family's 1533-position model. The record is from RNAcentral. Lineage: Bacteria; Pseudomonadati; Acidobacteriota.
UGGGGAAUUUUGGACAAUGGGGGAAACCCUGAUCCAGCCAUCCCGCGUGUGCGAUGAAGGCCUUCGGGUUGUAAAGCACUUUUGGCAGGAAAGAAACGUCAUGGGUUAAUACCCCGUGAAACUGACGGUACCUGCAGAAUAAGCACCGGCUAACUACGUGCCAGCAGCCGCGGUAAUACGUAGGGUGCAAGCGUUAAUCGGAAUUACUGGGCGUAAAGCGUGCGCAGGCGGUUCGGAAAGAAAGAUGUGAAAUCCCAGAGCUCAACUUUGGAACUGAAUUUUUAACUACCGGGCUAGAGUGUGUCAGAGGGAGGUGGAAUUCCGCGUGUAGCAGUGAAAGGCGUAGAUAUGCGGAGGAACACCGAUGGCGAAGGCAGCCUCCUGGGAUAACACUGACGCUCAUGCACGAAAGCGGGGGGAGCAAACAGG